This is a non-coding RNA of Glycine max (soybean), 110 nucleotides long. The record is from Rfam. NCBI's taxonomy places the organism in Eukaryota, Viridiplantae, Streptophyta, Magnoliopsida, Fabales, Fabaceae.
UUUUAAUUGGAUGUUUACCGUCACGUGUCGUAAUUUUAUUGGAGGUUGACAUUAAUUAGGUAUACAAAAUUAAUGUCCAAUAAAAAUGCGACAUAUGACGGUCAACGUUA